GUCUAAUACGACCAAGCUAAUAUUAUCUUGAUUCACUUCUACAAGAGGUGUGAAAUUGGAAAAAAUUGAAAGAACUCGAAUCUGUUUCUAGUCAAAGAGGCCAAAUGCAUCCAUUU
Molecule: unclassified non-coding RNA, 116 nt
Filed under: Pseudodiaptomus poplesia
Lineage: Eukaryota; Metazoa; Arthropoda; Copepoda; Calanoida; Pseudodiaptomidae
Description: trans-spliced leader sequence
Source: RNAcentral